RNAcentral lists this ribosomal RNA (301 nucleotides) under uncultured bacterium. Its description in RNAcentral is "partial 16S ribosomal RNA". It matches the Rfam family "Bacterial small subunit ribosomal RNA", at positions 509 to 807 of the family's 1533-position model. The record is from RNAcentral.
CAGCCGCCGCGGUAACACGUAGGGUGCGAGCGUUGUCCGGAAUUAUUGGGCGUAAAGAGCUUGUAGGCGGUCUGUCGCGUCUGCUGUGAAAACCCGAGGCUCAACCUCGGGCCUGCAGUGGGUACGGGCAGACUAGAGUGCGGUAGGGGAGAACGGAACUCCUGGUGUAGCGGUGGAAUGCGCAGAUAUCAGGAAGAACACCGAUGGCGAAGGCAGUUCUCUGGGCCGUAACUGACGCUGAGAAGCGAAAGCGUGGGGAGCGAACAGGAUUAGAUACCCCGGUAGUCCCUGUCUCUUAUAC